UACACGUAAGACGUCAGUUCAGUAGUACGGAAAUUUUUUACCGUAAUUGUGUUGUUCAAAAUUGAAACUGAAGAAAAUUGUGGAAAGUGAAACGUCGGUAGAUAUGUCGAGCUUCAUUAUUCAAGUAGAUCAACAGGCUACCCCAAGAACGAAAAGGAAAUUACUUGAAGAAAUAGAUUCAACUGAUAAUGCUUGCCUGAAGAGGUUAAACAAUGAAGAUUAUUUGAGCACAGGAAACUGGAGACUUUCAACUGCAGUCGAAGUAGUGAAUUUAAAUGGACAAACUAUCUCUUUAAACACUGCAGCAUUUAAAUGGAUAAAAAUACAGAUUAUUGAUAUGAAUGAGUCUUGUACUUCCAGGAAUGAAAAUAAUACAAUAGAAAUUACUCUUCAAAAUACUGCCAGUAUUUUCAAGAAGAUUUCUGUGAGUGGUACUUGCAUGGAUUCUAAUUUAGACUUUUCUAAAUGUAUUAAACUAUCGGAACAUUCAGUGACAGAAUUUAAACAUAAUGACGAUACCGACGACUUCUGCAAUAACGAUCUUUCGUGGCUUAUAAAUUUUAAAACUAAUGCAUUGCCUAACGCAGCUGAAGUCGAACACAGUCACAAAAACAAAGGAGGAAAAGAGGAAGAAACUGCAUACCUAGGAAGGAGAAUAGAAUUAAGUGGUAGUGGCGUAAUUCACCCGAAACUUACCAGGAAAAACUGAGGAAAACCAAGAAAAUUUCUCAAGAAUCUGUCAUGAUAUGCAGCUCGUGUAGAGAGAUAUGAACCGCUGACCAGCAGAAUUAUAACUGAGAAUUGCUAACCAUUUGACAGCGAUAUUCAAUGCUGGAAAAAUCCGAUACCCAGAAGUUGGCCUGGCAUCUUCGUGCAUUGGGGCGACAGAGACUUCACCCUCGCGUGAUCGGGCGUGUCCUCCAGCUGUUGUGAACGACGAGAAUUGUUACUCUGCACUUACGAGACCACCGUUCACAUAUGCUGAAAUGAUAGAAAAAGCUCUUUUGGAGAAUGGAGAACUUACAGUUUCUCAAAUCUACCAAUGGAUUUCAAAACACUUCACGUACUUCAAAGCCAAUGAUAACACAUGGAAGAAUUCGGUCCGACACAAUUUAACAACCAAACCAAUUUUCUCGAAAGGUGCAAAAGGACCACGUGGAGCUGGUCGCAUCUGGACACUUGCGAGUAAAAAUUAAAAUUUCCAGUAAAUCCUGGAAAGAAUUUGUAAAAAAUUAUCUUUUCUUUUGGCAUGUUUCUUGAUUUUACGUAUUGCUAGAUAAUUUUUUUAGAGGUUUCUUUCAUCAACAAGGAUAAAUUACAACAUACAGCUGGGAUGAAAAACAUGAACUUCGAUGAUUUUAAGAACUCGUCAACUUUUAAAUACACCUGUGAAUUGCAAUACAAAGAGUUAUAAACUUAACAAAUAAUAACAUCUUGAAUAAAGUCAAUGAUAUCUCUUGUUUGACAAUAAUUUUGAACCUAGAGUAACAAAACUAUUUGCAAUUCAAUUGAUUUAUUUUAGUGUUUGCCAACAGCAAGAAGCCAAUAUCAGGAAAACACUGAUAAUACGUACAAUAAUAAUAAAAUAUUUCACAAACAGAUUAACUAAACA
Molecule: non-coding RNA, 1612 nt
Organism: Zootermopsis nevadensis
Lineage: Eukaryota; Metazoa; Arthropoda; Insecta; Blattodea; Termopsidae
Source: RefSeq, a predicted model, not a curated record